CCGUGUUUCAUAUCGGAGGCAAUAAUCUUUUCUCUUUGCCUUCCUAAAGACAUUCCCAAUUCUCCCAAUUGGGAACCGUAUGAUCUCACUUGCUCACUGAAGAUGAGAAGAUUCUCAUCAACAAGAAACAAUGUAUUGUUUACAAAAUCAUAAGCAGGCUAACACUUUUUCAGAUCUGAAUCUUUAUUAUCUAAAAUUGAGGGAUUUCUACUUGGAAAAGAUUCACAAUUUCCCGGCAGCUAUCAUAUUUUAUCUUCUCCAACCAAAAUCCAACUCGAGGGCGAUCGAAUUCAUGCGUCUGUUGGUCGGUCUCUUAUACGUAUGUUCAAACAAAAAAUAAAGGAAUUGGGUUUGUACUUUAUGAAGAACUUUGUGGUUGGACCAAAUAUUAUGAAACUUAAAUACACGCGACAUAAAUUAAAGUUGGCAUUUACUCAUAAGACGAUUGUAGAGGAAUCAAAUGAUCAUCUUUUUGGUAUGAGUGUCUUCGACUUAAGACCUUAUGAGUAUUUGAUAAACAAAAUUGAUGUUGAAGAAAGUGAACUCUUCGAUGUCAUUGGAGAGGUUGUAAGUUAUGGUGAAGUAGAAUGACAUAACCAAGGUGAUAAGACCAACACUUUUAUGAAUGUGGAACUUGAAGAUCAUGAGAGGAAUAAUAUCUCGGCAACAUUUUGGGGAGAAUUCGUAGACCAGAUCUUGCCACAUUUAGAGGGAUCACCCCAUCAGCCUGUGAUGACCUAAAGGGUCAUCUUUUGUUUUAGAAUCCGAUUCCAUGUUUCGAGGCCUUGAAAAUCUUAUUUUAUCUCUCCUCGAUUUGCGUGCGCAUUCCGGGCAUUUAUCCGUAAAGCCUUUGUGUGAAACAUUUAAAAAAUGAUGAUUUUGGCUUAAAAAGA
Molecule: long non-coding RNA, 893 nt
Organism: Nicotiana attenuata
Lineage: Eukaryota; Viridiplantae; Streptophyta; Magnoliopsida; Solanales; Solanaceae
Exons: 4
Source: RefSeq, a predicted model, not a curated record